Molecule: ribosomal RNA, 431 nt
Filed under: uncultured bacterium
Lineage: Bacteria
Description: partial 16S ribosomal RNA
Rfam family: Bacterial small subunit ribosomal RNA
Source: RNAcentral
AACGAACGCUGGCGGCAGGCUUAACACAUGCAAGUCGAGCGCCCCGCAAGGGGAGCGGCAGACGGGUGAGUACCGCGUGGGAACGUACCUUUUGGUUCGGAACAACUCCGGGAAACUGGAGCUAAUACCGGAUAAGCCCUAACGGGGAAAGAUUUAUCGCCGAAAGAUCGGCCCGCGUCUGAUUAGCUAGUUGGUGAGGUAACGGCUCACCAAGGCGACGAUCAGUAGCUGGUCUGAGAGGAUGAUCAGCCACACUGGGACUGAGACACGGCCCAGACUCCUACGGGAGGCAGCAGUGGGGAAUAUUGGACAAUGGGCGCAAGCCUGAUCCAGCCAUGCCGCGUGAGUGAUGAAGGCCUUAGGGUUGUAAAGCUCUUUUGUCCGGGAAGGUAAUGACUGUACCGGAAGAAUAAGCCCCGGCUAACUUCGUG